Molecule: unclassified non-coding RNA, 208 nt
Filed under: Hevea brasiliensis (rubber tree)
Lineage: Eukaryota; Viridiplantae; Streptophyta; Magnoliopsida; Malpighiales; Euphorbiaceae
Source: RNAcentral
CUUCAAGUGCUCUCUAUUGUCAAGAAAUGGUUAAAUUUGGAGGUGUAGUUAUUUGUCUCUUGAUUGUUGCAAUUGAUGUGGGUGCUGGGAUUCUUGGCAUCUCCAAGCAGAAAUUGCACAAAACAAGGUUAAGCACUUGAGGCUGUGGAUAUUUGAGUGUAGAGACCCAAGCCAAGAUGCUUUCAAACUAGGGUUGGCUGCAGCAGCA